UGUUGCUUUGUACAUAAUAGGGACAUUGGUGUGGAAUAUCUUUUCUACUGGAGAGAAAGUUCUUGACUGAAGAUUUCAUGCCAAGGAAAGUGUAGCCUUUUUAGCCAUUGAAAUAUAGAAACGGAUGGAACAGUAAUCAGAUUACCAAACAUGUCUUGGAAGAUUAAACACCCUCAAAAAGUAGAAAAGAAAGAGACACCAUGGAAGUUUUCACCAUAAACCAUGGCCUUUGAUAAAAUAGUGUCUCCAAGAAGAAAUCUUGGAUUAAUUUUGCUCCUUUUCCUCAACACUCCUCUACAGUGAGUUUGUUUCUAAAAUGAGUAAGUAAAGGUACCCUUAUAUUUUAGUAAGAUAAGCUUAGAAUACACUUUAAAUUAAGUCAAUAUUAGAUACAUUUUUACUUGCUUACUUUAUAGCCAAACUCAGUAAUAAACUCAUUUACUGGUCCUUUUCCCUUUUGCCCAUGCCUUUGUUCCAUGAACUCAAGUGCUUUCUGUAUAGAAAGUCAGUGGACUGUUUCCUCAUGUCAAACCUCAUCUAAGCAUACACAAGCUCAGAUUAUACAUGUUAAUUAGAUUAUUCAGCUAUCUCUCUAACAAGGACAUCUUUAUCUUUAUCUUUUUCAUUUUAUCAAUGUUUUAAAAAAUAACUGGCCA
This 656-nucleotide long non-coding RNA is filed under the name Vigna radiata. RNAcentral's name for it is "long non-coding RNA (VRAD_LNC003095)". Lineage: Eukaryota; Viridiplantae; Streptophyta; Magnoliopsida; Fabales; Fabaceae. The record is from RNAcentral.